RNAcentral lists this microRNA precursor (79 nucleotides) under Spodoptera frugiperda (fall armyworm). Its description in RNAcentral is "microRNA sfr-mir-10478 precursor". Lineage: Eukaryota; Metazoa; Arthropoda; Insecta; Lepidoptera; Noctuidae. The record is from miRBase by way of RNAcentral.
GCCUUAAUGGCUCUGAUACCCGUGGGGAGGCGCUGGACUCGUCCAGCAAGUCCCACACACGGGUCCCAAGCUGGAAGGC